RNAcentral lists this ribosomal RNA (661 nucleotides) under Globodera millefolii. Its description in RNAcentral is "eukaryotic LSU rRNA". It matches the Rfam family "Eukaryotic large subunit ribosomal RNA", at positions 408 to 904 of the family's 3401-position model. Lineage: Eukaryota; Metazoa; Nematoda; Chromadorea; Rhabditida; Heteroderidae. The record is from RNAcentral.
AUGAGGUGGAAACGGACAGAGCUGGCGUAUCUGGUCUGCAUUCAUCCGUGUGCUCUUGGGCGUUUGGAUUGCCACUCUCCAGACUGGGAUGGUGUUCAUUCUGUUCAGGGGCUCAUGGAGCAUUUGCAGGCGGAGUGCGCUGAGAUGCUCGGGGCAGCUGCAUGAGCUUGGCUUUGAGGCCAGCCCUUCGGGGUCUGGUACCCGGGCUGGGGGAGUGUUGUUUGUUCUGGGUGCUGAGUGGUGUGCAAUGGCAACGGGUCCGUGUUGGUUUGAGCUGGCGGUCGGUGGCGGUCGCGUGCGACACGUGCCAGCAGUCAGUUCGGUCCUGCUCGGGCUCUCAUUGCAUGUUCUCGGUGUAAAAGCCGGUCAUCUGUCCGACCCGUCUUGAAACACGGACCAAGGAGUUUAGCGUGUGCGCGAGUCAUUGGGAGUUGAAAACCCAAGGGCGUAAUGAAAGUGAAGGUCUCCUUGCGGAGCUGAUGUGUGAUCCCGUGCACCACGGUGUGCGGGCGCAACAUAGUCCCGUUCCUAUCGCAUGCGAUGGGGCGGAGACAGAGCGUACGCGCUGAGACCCGAAAGAUGGUGAACUAUUCCUGAGCAGGAUGAAGCCAGAGGAAACUCUGGUGGAAGUCCGAAGCGAUUCUGACGUGCAAAUCGAUCG